Molecule: non-coding RNA, 24 nt
Filed under: Cricetulus griseus (Chinese hamster)
Lineage: Eukaryota; Metazoa; Chordata; Mammalia; Rodentia; Cricetidae
Also listed under: 1 other name
Source: RNAcentral
GGUCCGAGAGUAGUGGUGUUUACA